GCUGGGUGUGGUGGCGCAUGCCUGUAAUCCCAGCUACUCAGGAGGCUGAGGCAGGAGAAUUGCUUGAAUCCGGGAGGCGGAGGUUGCAGUGAGCUGAGAUCAUGCCGCUGCACUCCAGCCUGGGCGACAUAGCAAGACUCUGUCUCAA
This 148-nucleotide non-coding RNA is filed under the name Pan paniscus (pygmy chimpanzee). The record is from Rfam by way of RNAcentral. Lineage: Eukaryota; Metazoa; Chordata; Mammalia; Primates; Hominidae. RNAcentral also lists the same sequence under 1 other name.